UUUACGCUGUAACAUAUUUUAUUUGAACAAACACAAAGUUAACGAAAUGGACUCUCAGUAGAAUGAUGUGGAUAAUAAAUCAUGUAACAAAUCCAUGAAUCUGUCCUCUUGUUCAGGUGUUUGUACCAGGUGAUAACAGAUCAAGUCCAGGUUCAGACGUCCAGCUGUGAACAGAGCCUAAAACUGGUACUAACUCAGAUACCUGCUGCAGCUCACUGUCUUGGUUCAAGGCUGACUUCAGCUUCCAUGCAGACAUUAAAGAUCACAGGGGGAUGCAGAGGUGGAAUGGGGCAAAAAAAUUGGCCCUGGAUUUUUUUGGUCCAGACCAACAACAAUCUGUGUGCAGAUAUUGUGCCAACUCGCCCCGUUGAUGUACAUACAAACACGCAAUAACACCACAAUAUUAAACAAUAUCCCUUUAUAUUCUGAGGCCUUGAAUUAAAUGUGAUAACUACACAGUGUGUCGCUCACUUGCCACUGUAUGAAAGCUACCUUCUAAUGCUGCCAUCCUCGCAGCGGAAAACUUUCUGCCAUUUGGGGUUCUUUGUAGUUUUUAGGAUGGGUGAAAUAAUCUAUGGGUGGGCUCACUGGGGUGCUUGAGGUCUCUGGUGAGAUCAUCUCUACAGAAGAUGAUAGAAUAGAAUAACAGAAUAUUUUUUUUGUGGAUCACAAAAGUGUUAUCCUAUCAGCUUCAUUUUCAACACGAAAGGUUACCACUCAGACAAAACAACACAUAUUUGAUAUUUGUGUUUCAUAAGUUACUAAACUUACUGCGUUGUAAUCAGAGUGUGUAACCAGGUAAUCAACAAACUGCUGCAGCUUUAGAUGGAGAGUAGUAACAGUGGCAGCCAGGACUCUCCCUGCUCUGUAGAAACAUAUUUUCCUCCAUCAUUAACUGGAGUUUUAUGACUCUUUCUUCUCCCUCCUCUUCCUCAGGUGUGUUUCCAGGUGCAGCCUUCAACACAGUGCCCCCCCGCCCCCUCGUACCGUAAUCAGGGUCUGUUACCUGUGGGUGAUCCGGGGGCAGCAGGGGC
Molecule: non-coding RNA, 1034 nt
Organism: Xyrichtys novacula (pearly razorfish)
Lineage: Eukaryota; Metazoa; Chordata; Actinopteri; Labriformes; Labridae
Source: the annotation of a GenBank genome assembly